UCCACGCGAGGUCCCCGUCUCGCGCUUCGGCCGCAGAGGCUGCCGGGUGUUGGGGCUUCGGGUCCUGUGAUUGGUGACCCGGUCCGCGCCCCCGGUCUUGCCUUGGAGCCCGAGCCCAGCCCACCCAGGCCACCGCCCUUCCUCGGAUCCAGUCUGGAGGUCCGUCCCCAAAGCGACAUGCCCUGCCGCGUGGGGGUGCGGCCUGGCGAUCCGUCCUGCUUGGGGCGGGCUUGUCGUUCCCUACGGAAGCCCAGAGUGCCGCUGAGCUCUGCGCCCUGCUGGACUCCGCGCCCUGCUGGACUCCGCAGGAAAUGCAAACACAGAACUGGGACAUCAGGAGGCUGUCAAAGAAGUGUCAGAACAUAAGGCGACCGAUAAAACUGAAUUCCACUGAUAAUUAAGCAAUAAACACAUGGUGCCACGGAAGACUUGCUUUAUCCCAGGCCGUCCAGCACAUCUGCUCAUCCCCGGAGGCGACCGUUCUUGGCAGAGAUCGUCCUGCCGUGCUGAGAGGGUCCCUGACUCAUGGGGAACGGCUGCUCUUUCUAUCAGCAAGCCUCCCUCUCAUCCCGCUGAAUCCUCUGAAAGAAAUUCCUAAGUGACAUGCAGUCCUGGGUCCUAGAUUCCUGCCAGCUCACCGUCCCUGGGGCCACAACUUCCAGGGAAGUGAGAAGUCUGAAGUCAAAGGACGAAAUGAGGUGUCCCUACCGUGUGGAACCUGCACGUUUGGCUUCUAAGUUUUCAGACACUGCAGCUCAGCAAACAGGUGGCGCCAGGGGCCCCUUUUCACAAGUGGCCCUGUUGGCAUUCUCAUCCCCACCCACAGCCACUUGGCAUCUUUUGUUCUCAGUUUUGAAUCUUAGCCAUCGUUCUGGAACAACAUGGAAAAUCUCAAUCAGUGUCUUAGCCUGUGUGGCAAGAAGCUGGAUUUUGGCCACUCCUCGAAGCUCGUGUCCCUUUUCGUCCUUUCAGCCACCGUGACCCACUGGUGUGGGCAGUACACCAUCCCCUACUUAGACACUUUAAAGGAAGCACAGUUUUUCCAUUUGCAGGAUACAGGUCUAUUUGAGGGUCUCAGUUGAAAUUGAACCUGGGAAAAAGGUUAGUGAAAAUUCAACUAUUGGCAAAAAUAUGCUGAUCUUUUAGGAGUUUAGAGAAACAGCACUUUUUAUUGGGCCUGGCUCAGAUGGGACGUGUGAAGGGGUCUCUUCUCGCUCAUAGACAUCCUCCUAGUUUAGAGGCCUAUCAGAUGUACAAGUAUAUCAAAUAAGAGACUCUUUAAUAUCCUUCCUUGCCCUUUGCCGCCUCAUGAGUCCUUGUUAAGGGUCUAGGGAUGAGAAAGUUUAGUGUAACACGAAAAUAAUCCUAGGGAAAAUCAGAUUUGUGGAAUGGCCAUGUUACUGUGGGUAACCAACGUGGAAUUCUAUCUUGGAGGAAGUUUUGGCUAUCCACAUAAAUAGCAGGCCCAGAGAGACUCAGCCCAUUCCGUCCCCAUGCCCUUUCCUUGGACUAGGCUGAGUGUUUCUUUGUUCGUACCUGAUCUCGGCGUCUGGGGUGAAAAAUGACUUAUCCGGUAUUAACACCUGUUUUGUUUUUACUCAACUGAUUUAUCACACACUUACUAAAUGCCUAAAUGUGUUACUCACUUCUGUAAAAAGGAGAUUUUAACUACCUUCAUUGAGUUGUUCUCAGAAAUAAAAAAAUACAUACAUGUAAGUGCUUAGGACGGA
Long non-coding RNA from Pteropus alecto (black flying fox), 1730 nucleotides. RefSeq lists it as uncharacterized. The transcript has 2 exons. NCBI's taxonomy places the organism in Eukaryota, Metazoa, Chordata, Mammalia, Chiroptera, Pteropodidae. The record is from RefSeq and is a predicted model, not a curated record.